This 274-nucleotide ribosomal RNA is filed under the name uncultured bacterium. Its description in RNAcentral is "partial 16S ribosomal RNA". It matches the Rfam family "Bacterial small subunit ribosomal RNA", at positions 523 to 796 of the family's 1533-position model. The record is from RNAcentral.
AUACGAAGGGGGCUAGCGUUGUUCGGAAUCACUGGGCGUAAAGCGCGCGUAGGUGGAUCAAUUAGUUGAGGGUGAAAUCCCGGGGCUCAACCUCGGAACUGCCUUCAAUACUGUUGAUCUUGAGACCGAGAGAGGUGAGUGGAAUUCCUAGUGUAGAGGUGAAAUUCGUAGAUAUUGGGAAGAACACCAGUGGCGAAGGCGGCUCACCGGCUCGGUACUGACGCUGAGGUGCGAAAGCGUGGGGAGCAAACAGGAUUAGAAACCCCAGUAGUCC